GUGAGCUACCAACCAACAAACCCCAGGCUUCACAAUACACCUCAACAAUGUGUUGAUAAUACGUCACUUAAUCAAGAUAAAGCGCUAAAUCAGCAGGAAUCACUCAGUACCUGUUGGUGCGAGGCAAUCUGUUUCAAUCCUAAGAAGAGAUGAUAAGUUUGUAUUUCAAGAGUCCCUUAACAUCAGAGCAAAAAGGUUCAGAAUCGCUGCAGAGAAGAGCUCGAAGUCUCACAGCUCUCAGUGGUUCAGUCGAAAUAAGGCUUGACUUCAGUUAUAGUUUAAACGCUUGUCGAGGUGGAUGUCACGUGAGUGUAGAGACGGAUGUCAUGCAAGUGUAGAGAGAGAUGUCACGAGAGUGUAGACACAGAUGCUGGGGAUGUAGGAAGUCGGAUGCUGUUCUUCUGAAAUCAGAGGAGAGUUUGGAAGAGAAAACGGAAAACUGAUAUCUUACGUCAAUGGGUGUCCAGGAGACGACGAAGACGACGGUGAUGACGAGGAGAACGGUAACCAUCUGCAUCUCCAGUUCUCUCUGUCUGUAGGUGCGAUGGGGAGCACAGAAGCUUGUGUCCGAGCACCGCUGCCUGCACAGCCGGAGACACAGCAGGGUCGCUGGUGGUCGCAGGCAGCACCACCGAGAGAUCAGAGAGAGAGAGAGAAAGAAAGAGAGAGAGAAAGAGAAAAAUAAUUUCAUUAAACAGUAAUCGUCAGU
This is a long non-coding RNA of Cherax quadricarinatus, 709 nucleotides long. RefSeq lists it as uncharacterized. NCBI's taxonomy places the organism in Eukaryota, Metazoa, Arthropoda, Malacostraca, Decapoda, Parastacidae. The record is from RefSeq and is a predicted model, not a curated record.